AGUAGUAGUAGUAUUCGAGAAAGAGUAGAUAAUAAUCGAUUUUUAAAAAUCAAUUGAUUUAAGAACUUUUGACCUAUCCUAUAUUUUUAAAAAGAAGAUCUAUGAUCGACCCCCAACAUCGAAUCCUUCCAUGUCUCUGAAAAUUCUAACAAGACCAGACUAGGGCAAAGCUCGUUAAGGUUGUUCGAAAUGGAUUUACAAUGUAUGCUUUAUUGGUCUGGAGGAUGCUGGAUAAUGGACCUUCUCAGGGGUCUUUGGUAGGAGACGAUUAGGACGAGAACUUUUUGGGAGCAGCCACUCCCACGCUAAGGAACGAAUACCUGCCAAACGACACCACUGUCGUCGUUCGGUCCUUUCCUCGCUUCAGAGUGCAGUAAAGAAAAAGAAAGUAAGAAAGAAAGAAAGAGAGAAAGAACGAAAGAAAAAAAAAGAGGAAGGAAGAAAAAGAAGAAAAAAAGAGGAAAAAAAGAAAGAGAGAGAGAGAGAGCGUGAGAGAGAGAGAGAGAGAGAGGGAGAGAGGCAGUGCAAAACAGGCGACCGAACGGAGAAUAAACGAGAAUGCGAGUGGUCCUUUGACGGAGAAUCUACGUGUUCGUUGUCUUCCGAAAACUCUUCGUUCGUGCUGGACCAUGUUCGAACGUCUCGAGUUUAUUUAGGAAAAGGAAGAAAGAGAAGAAAAAGAAGAAAAAAUAAAAAGAAUAAGAAAAAUAUCAAUUUGAUCGAAAAAUAUUGAAAUGAAGAUAUCCUCUUGGUACGGGAAUAUUAAAUAGCACCUGACAAGUGCAAAAGGUUAAAUUCGAUUUUCUUGGUUCAACGAACAAUUCUAUUGUCUCGUCUUGUCAGAAUGAAUGAGGAACACAACACGGAAGAAGAAGAGGAAGAAGGAGAGGAAAA
Molecule: long non-coding RNA, 894 nt
Organism: Vespa mandarinia (Asian giant hornet)
Lineage: Eukaryota; Metazoa; Arthropoda; Insecta; Hymenoptera; Vespidae
Source: RefSeq, a predicted model, not a curated record